GACGAACGCUGGCGGCGUGCCUGACACAUGCAAGUCGGACGGUUCUUGCACCUUCAAGCUUGCUUGCUGGUGCAAGGAUAGUGGCGGACGGGUGAGUAACGCGUGAACAUCUACCCAUUGGAGGGGGACAACCCGUCGAAAGGCGGGCUAAUACCGCGUAAGCCGCGAGGUGAGAGGCUGCCUAUUGGUGGCCGCCGAUGGAUGGGUUCGCGUCCUAUCAGCUGGUUGGUGGGGUAACGGCCUACCAAGGCGAAGACGGGUAGCCGGUCUGAGAGGAUGGCCGGCCACACUGGAACUGAGACACGGUCCAGACUCCUACGGGAGGCAGCAGUGGGGAAUAUUGGGCAAUGGGGGAGACCCUGACCCAGCGACGCCGCGUGAGGGAUGAAGGUUUUCGGAUCGUAAACCUCUGUUGUACGGGAAGAAGGAUGUGACGGUACCGUACGAGAAAGCCCCGGCAAACUACGUGCCAGCAGCCGCGGUAAAACGUGCGUG
This 495-nucleotide ribosomal RNA is filed under the name uncultured bacterium. RNAcentral's name for it is "bacterial SSU rRNA". It matches the Rfam family "Bacterial small subunit ribosomal RNA", at positions 28 to 533 of the family's 1533-position model. The record is from RNAcentral.